GCCGUACAACAAUGGUGGACUUAUGAAUCGUGUCAGGUCUGGAAGGAAGCAGCACUAAGUAUGCUCCAUCAUGUGUUGUAUGUACAU
This 87-nucleotide signal recognition particle RNA is filed under the name Pisciglobus halotolerans. RNAcentral's name for it is "Carnobacteriaceae bacterium C01 Bacterial small signal recognition particle RNA". It matches the Rfam family "Bacterial small signal recognition particle RNA". Rfam says of the family: The signal recognition particle (SRP) is a universally conserved ribonucleoprotein involved in the co-translational targeting of proteins to membranes. Archaeal SRP consists of a 7S RNA and homologues of the eukaryotic SRP19 and SRP54 proteins. The record is from Rfam by way of RNAcentral. Lineage: Bacteria; Bacillati; Bacillota; Bacilli; Lactobacillales; Carnobacteriaceae.